AGAGCAUAGCAGAGAAGAGCAAAAGGUGAUGCAAAAGGAGAGCAGGAUAUUAUAGAUGUGUUGCUUUCUGUGCUUGAUGGUGCAGAUCUUGGCGGUUUUGAUGCUGAUACGAUCAACAAGGCCACAAGCUUGUGAAAUGACUUCCUUACCCUCCGAGGCCACGCAUUUAUCCUCUCCGUCUUCUGGAUUUGCCCGCCUUGCCCACGCGUCGAUCAUCAGUAAAAAGUUAUGCUUUGACAUUUUCUGCACUUUUCCUUCCGUAUUCACUUUUCUCUCUCACAAAAGUCUGUUUCUAUCGCUCUCAAAUCUCGACUUCUCUCUGCGUCUCUCACUCAUCUCUCAGCUGUCUCUCUCACUCUUGAGGUACCCUGCCACUGGAUGUCGUUUGCCGUUGCCGAUCUGCAAGUAAAGCUUCAAUUUCCAUAUUAAGGGUGAUUUGUUACCUCCAAGGUCCACCGUCGUUUAUUGGUCACUGUGCUUUUCGUUUUUUGGGGCUUCUGUAUACAAGCUUGGAAGCCAAUUAUGUUCAAGGUUAUGGAUGCAUGAUUGGUUGCUGGUUGAUGUGAUUUCUCCCCAUCGCAUCGCGUCCAGAAGAUCAGGUGCUCACCUCACAUGGCUUCAUUGGAGAAGUGAUGGUUUUGCUUAAGUGUUUUAGAUAAUCUGAAAAAAUAUGUAGAUACUAUGAUUUGGGGUUGCUUCCUUAAACCGUGAUAAAGCAGUCCAUGUAAUUUUAGCAUGGUAUCAUUUUUUAUCUAAUGCAUGAGUAUAAGAAAUGUUAAGACAUAGUAUAUUGGGAAACACCAUGUGAUUUAAAAUGCAAAGAGAAACAAUGAACCAUGUUUUAUAUUUUGUUCGUAUUGGUUGAUUUAAAUUUGGGAACUUUUGA
Molecule: non-coding RNA, 886 nt
Organism: Malus domestica (apple)
Lineage: Eukaryota; Viridiplantae; Streptophyta; Magnoliopsida; Rosales; Rosaceae
Source: RefSeq, a predicted model, not a curated record